This 301-nucleotide ribosomal RNA is filed under the name uncultured bacterium. Its description in RNAcentral is "partial 16S ribosomal RNA". It matches the Rfam family "Bacterial small subunit ribosomal RNA", at positions 509 to 807 of the family's 1533-position model. The record is from RNAcentral.
CAGUCGCCGCGGGAAUACAGAGGGUGCGAGCGUUAAUCGGAUUUACUGGGCGUAAAGCGUGCGUAGGCGGCUUCUUAAGUCGGAUGUGAAAUCCCCGGGCUCAACCUGGGAACUGCAUCCAAAACUGGCAAGCUAGAGUACGGUAGAGGGUGGUGGAAUUUCCUGUGUAGCGGUGAAAUGCGUAGAUAUAGGAAGGAACACCAGUGGCGAAGGCGACCACCUGGACUGAUACUGACACUGAGGUGCGAAAGCGUGGGGAGCAAACAGGAUUAGAUACCCCCGUAGUCCCUGUCUCUUAUAC